GGGUAUAUAGCUCAGUGGUAGAGUGUGUGCUUAGCAUGCACAGGGUCUUGGGUUCAAUCCCCUGUGCCUCCA
This 72-nucleotide transfer RNA is filed under the name Camelus dromedarius (Arabian camel). It matches the Rfam family "tRNA". Rfam says of the family: Transfer RNA (tRNA) molecules are approximately 80 nucleotides in length. Their secondary structure includes four short double-helical elements and three loops (D, anti-codon, and T loops). Lineage: Eukaryota; Metazoa; Chordata; Mammalia; Artiodactyla; Camelidae. The record is from Rfam by way of RNAcentral. RNAcentral also lists the same sequence under 1 other name.